UAGGGAAUCUUCGGCAAUGGACGAAAGUCUGACUGAGCAACGCCGCGUGAGUGAAGAAGGUUUUCGGAUCUUAUAACUCUGUUGUUAGAGAAGAACAAGGACGUUAGUAAUUGAACGUCUCCUGACGGUAUUUAAUCAGAAAGCCACGGCUAACUACGUGCCAGCAGCCGCGGUAAUACGUAGGUGGCAAGCGUUGUCCGGACUUAUUGGGCGUAAAGCGAGCGCAGGCGGUUUCUUAAGUCUGAUGUGAAAGCCCCCGGCUCAACCGGGGAGGGUCAUUGGAAACUGGGAGACUUGAGUGCAGAAGGGGAGAGUGGAAUUCCAUGUGUAGCGGUGAAAUGCUUGGAUAUAUAGAGAAACACCAGUGGCGAAGGCGGCUCUCUGGUCUGUAACUGCCGCUGAGGCUCGAAAGCGUGGGGAGCAAACAGG
This 429-nucleotide ribosomal RNA is filed under the name Gemmatimonadota bacterium. RNAcentral describes it as "Gemmatimonadetes bacterium partial 16S ribosomal RNA". It matches the Rfam family "Bacterial small subunit ribosomal RNA", at positions 355 to 776 of the family's 1533-position model. The record is from RNAcentral. Lineage: Bacteria; Pseudomonadati; Gemmatimonadota.